Molecule: ribosomal RNA, 255 nt
Filed under: uncultured bacterium
Lineage: Bacteria
Description: partial 16S ribosomal RNA
Rfam family: Bacterial small subunit ribosomal RNA
Source: RNAcentral
UUAGCUAGUAGGUGGGGUAAUGGCUCACCUAGGCGACGAUCCCUAGCUGGUCUGAGAGGAUGACCAGCCACACUGGAACUGAGACACGGUCCAGACUCCUACGGGAGGCAGCAGUGGGGAAUAUUGCACAAUGGGCGCAAGCCUGAUGCAGCCAUGCCGCGUGUAUGAAGAAGGCCUUCGGGUUGUAAAGUACUUUCAGCGAGGAGGAAGGCAUUAAGGUUAAUAACCUUAGUGAUGACGUACUCGCAGAAGAAG